UACGAAGGGGGCUAGCGUUGUUCGGAAUUACUGGGCGUAAAGCGCGCGCAGGCGGUUUCUCAAGUCAGUGGUGAAAGCCCGGAGCUCAACUCCGGAACUGCCAUUGAAACUGUGAAACUUGAGGACGAGAGAGGUGAGUGGAAUUCCCAGUGUAGAGGUGAAAUUCGUAGAUAUUGGGAAGAACACCGGUGGCGAAGGCGGCUCACUGGACCAUAACUGACGCUGAGGCGCGAAAGCUAGGGGAGCAAACAGG
RNAcentral lists this ribosomal RNA (253 nucleotides) under uncultured bacterium. RNAcentral describes it as "partial 16S ribosomal RNA". It matches the Rfam family "Bacterial small subunit ribosomal RNA", at positions 524 to 776 of the family's 1533-position model. The record is from RNAcentral.